Molecule: long non-coding RNA, 583 nt
Organism: Scophthalmus maximus (turbot)
Lineage: Eukaryota; Metazoa; Chordata; Actinopteri; Pleuronectiformes; Scophthalmidae
Exons: 2
Source: RefSeq, a predicted model, not a curated record
UUUGGCCUGCUCAGGCAAAGUUGAGUAACCGGUUAGGUUGGUUAUGACCAUGCAUGUUUACUUUCCUACAAUCUAACAUUGGAGCGGUGAUGUCUACUCCAGAUGGGUACGUUUUAACUGGCUAUAACAGCAGAGACUAACAGGCUCGCGGCUAUUUUAUUGGUGUUGCAUUUUUUCUCAUCUUCGUUUAUUUUAUUUUUUUUAUUACGGGUGUGUUGUGCCACGUUACAUCAGCAAAGCAGCUCUGUCUGUCACCCAGCCCCACACCACGUUGUACGAGUGCUCGUAACAAUACAUUACAUUGUUAAGGAAGAGACUGGACACAAGAGGCUGACAUUCACAGGUGUGCCAACUUGACCAGCCAAGUUAACUCCAAACCACAUACCGACAAUUUUGUCGACAGUGUCAUGGUCUUCGAAGGACACAAAGCAGAAUCCCCUCUUCUUGCCAGUGGACCGCUCCUCCAUGAUGUCGAUGCAUUCAAUCUUUCCAUACUUCUCAAAGUGCUCUCGGAUGUGGUACUCCUCGGUGUCCUCCUUGAUACCACCGACAAAGAUCUUCUUCACCGUCAGAUGGGCACCUG